RNAcentral lists this ribosomal RNA (620 nucleotides) under Serratia marcescens. RNAcentral's name for it is "bacterial SSU rRNA". It matches the Rfam family "Bacterial small subunit ribosomal RNA", at positions 85 to 701 of the family's 1533-position model. Lineage: Bacteria; Pseudomonadati; Pseudomonadota; Gammaproteobacteria; Enterobacterales; Yersiniaceae. The record is from RNAcentral.
UGGGUGACGAGCGGCGGACGGGUGAGUAAUGUCUGGGAAACUGCCUGAUGGAGGGGGAUAACUACUGGAAACGGUAGCUAAUACCGCAUAACGUCGCAAGACCAAAGAGGGGGACCUUCGGGCCUCUUGCCAUCAGAUGUGCCCAGAUGGGAUUAGCUAGUAGGUGGGGUAAUGGCUCACCUAGGCGACGAUCCCUAGCUGGUCUGAGAGGAUGACCAGCCACACUGGAACUGAGACACGGUCCAGACUCCUACGGGAGGCAGCAGUGGGGAAUAUUGCACAAUGGGCGCAAGCCUGAUGCAGCCAUGCCGCGUGUGUGAAGAAGGCCUUCGGGUUGUAAAGCACUUUCAGCGAGGAGGAAGGUGGUGAGCUUAAUACGCUCAUCAAUUGACGUUACUCGCAGAAGAAGCACCGGCUAACUCCGUGCCAGCAGCCGCGGUAAUACGGAGGGUGCAAGCGUUAAUCGGAAUUACUGGGCGUAAAGCGCACGCAGGCGGUUUGUUAAGUCAGAUGUGAAAUCCCCGGGCUCAACCUGGGAACUGCAUUUGAAACUGGCAAGCUAGAGUCUCGUAGAGGGGGGUAGAAUUCCAGGUGUAGCGGUGAAAUGCGUAGAGAUCUGG